RNAcentral lists this ribosomal RNA (253 nucleotides) under uncultured bacterium. Its description in RNAcentral is "partial 16S ribosomal RNA". It matches the Rfam family "Bacterial small subunit ribosomal RNA", at positions 524 to 776 of the family's 1533-position model. The record is from RNAcentral.
UACGGGGGGGGCAAGCGUUGUUCGGAAUUACUGGGCGUAAAGGGUUCGUAGGUGGCCAACUCAGUCAGACGUGAAAUCCCUCAGCUCAACUGGGGAACUGCGUCUGAUACUAGAUGGCUUGAGUGCAGGAGAGGAACGCGGAAUUCCAGGUGUAGCGGUGAAAUGCGUAGAUAUCUGGAGGAACACCGGUGGCGAAGGCGGCGUUCGGGACUGCAACUGACACUGAGGAACGAAAGCCAGGGGAGCAAACGGG